UAUUUUCUUCUGGAUCAGUGCCUAGCUGAACUAUUCUCCUAGAAUUUUUCCACUAAAGUAGGAUCUCAGGCAGACAUCUGGCCUGGAAAAUUUCUGCCCAUUUAGCUUGGCAAGGUUAAAAAAAUAGUAAAAAAGGUGUUACAAUGUGAAGUGUCUGACAACAUUACUAAUGGAUGGUGCCAACCAAUAUGCAUAAGGGUCAAUAAUAAUUGUAUUAUGUAUGCAUACACAAAUGAAGCUCAGUGCAGACUCCCAAAUGGACUAAUCACAUGAUUUGUAGGCACUUUUGGGCAAGCCUAAUGGGAAACCUUGCUCUUUGAAUUAGUCAGAGUGAGAGCUUUUACCACUAUGUGCAAUGUUUGUUAGUGAAGGGUUUUUCUGUGGGCUGCCGAGCGCAAUGUGCAUACAAGCCUCUCUAAACGCUCAUCCACUGUUGUUAAGAAGAUGACAGGCUUCCUAUCCUAAAGGAGGAUUUUUCUGUUCAUGUUAUUUCCCUUGGAGGUAUAAAAGUGUACUAAGUAAAGCUACAGCAACUUAUGGAAAUCUGCUGUUUGCAUGGUCCUUGGUUUCCUUUGGUAGCGCAGUCUGUGUAACAGGCUCUCAUUUCUCCAGCUCUCUCACAGUUUCUUCUCCCUCAUUGUCACCCUGGCAGUGAAGUUGAGUAAGUUCCUCUUCACAACCAAAUCUCUAGCUAUCAAUCGAUUUAUGAUUGUUUGUGUAUCAUAUGAACAAAAUAUCUGUUCAAAUUAUUCUAAACUUUGCUUCGAGACUUGUGACAAAGGAUGAGUAGUAACGGCUUCCUGAACAUAUUAUCUUGUCUGAAAGAAAAAGAGGCGAGGCGAGGAGAGAAAAAAGAAGCCGCCUACAUGACUUCACCAAAAUUAAGUGUUACUUGCCCUGUAGCUGUUUUGAUUAAAUGGUCUUGGGACAGUACUUGGGACCCCAUUACUUGGGAUAAUGGUUAUUUUUUAUGUUCCUGGCUUAAAGGCUUUUCAGAAAUGCUGAGUACAUAAUAGCCUCUUCUUCUAAAUUUAUAUGGGCUUGUUAGUGGAAAAUGAUCUGAAGUAACCAAGAUAAAGGCAUUGCAAUGUAUCUUCAUUGGAAAAGAACUAAUUUAUGUAAGAUAAAUGAAUUAAGUCUGGUUUAAACUCUAUUAUUUAUUUCUAUUCAACCUAAAACUUGAGUGGUCACCUUUUAGCAACAAAGUCCAUUUCAUAAUAGCAAGGUCUGGUUUUGAGUCUUUAAGAUAUUUUUGUUUUCUGUAGAACAGGCCUAUAGCUCCUGAUGAUUCUCUGAUGAGGGCUGUAUUUGUAAGAUAUGUUACUCUGGCAUUCUAAUCUGAGAGAAGCUUCCUAAAUUUGUUCAGCAAAACCUUAUUUAUCUUUUUUUUUUUUUACUUUCUAGUGAAUUCUCACUUAUAUGGUGAUUCUCACAGAAAGUGAGUCACAGCAAUUUCAUGAAACAUUGUGUGCGUAACUACAUUUCAGCGAAAUUUUGUUCUCAUGUCCAUGCUUAUUUUAAUUAUUAAAAUAGUUAUUUUCCUAUUACUUUUGUCCACUUUUUGACAUAUAAUUCAUGUCAGUUAGAUUUUCAAUACACUGGAAUGGAGAUUGAAAUUUGUAAUUACUUGUCUGAGAUUCUGGGUACAUAUCUUAAAACCAUAAAAAAAAAUGCAAACCAACAAAAGGGUAAUAAACCCAAACUAAAAAGUGGAGACUAGAUUUCUUUUUAAAGGCAUACUAGUAGAAAGCAGGAGGCUUGCAUACAAAUCCCAGCAUUAUCUCAGAUUUACUGGGUGACCUUGGACAGGUCAUCGGGGCCCUGAAUUAAUGCAAAGGGCUGUAGACCUUUCUUUUGGCUGUAAUGCCAUCCUGAACAGGAGUGGGAUUACUCAUGUAUGUGCUUAAGGGUUUUGCUGAACAAUGGCCUUAAUCUCUCCAUGCACCCACAUGCUGCCCACACCAGCAUGGAUAGCACUGCCUUUUCCCAACUCCACCCUCUUGUUCAGGUUUCAAGCUUUUUAUGGCUUGAAUAUCUCCAUGCUAUGUCUUUGUGAGUAUAACACUAUAGCCCAGCAUGCUGGAACUGUAUUCAGGGUCAGGGUCUCUAGACACUCUUGAGAUAAAAUAAAAUAUUUAAUAACCCAUACCAAGAAGCUGAAUUUAAAAAUAAUUGCAAAACUGCAGCUAGUGGAAUAUGACAUUUGCCCCAGAGUACCUGCAUGUUGUUUGCGCCGCCACAGCUGCUAUAAGACCGUUGUACAUAAAGUGUGCUUGAGCUAUUGCUCAGCCCUUGCCUGUUGCUAGAGCCAAACUCACAGAGAUGAAAAUGCUCACAGAGUUUGUCUUGACACAUGGUGUACCUAGAGCUGGUGCCAGGCACCAGUUAACAAGAAGAUGAAGAUUUUUAGUUGUCUGAAGAGGUUUAUGUGUUGUUUCCAAUGAAUUAAGAGUAGAAAUCUGAUUUAAAAGACUAGUUUAUCAACCCUAGAAUGUGACUGGAAUUUUAAGUACCAUGAAGAAAUGUAAUCUUAAGGCCUAACUAAACAAGUUGGCAUGUAGUAAUGUAAGGGGUGAAUUUAGAGGGUUUUAGUUCCGUCAGGGUAACCACAUGUGUGCAUGCCCUGGCUCCCUGAAUUAUGUAAGGUAGCCCUUACUUUCAUUGAAGUUUGUAAUGUGUUUAAAACGAAAGUUACAAUAUAUAAACAUGCAUACUAAUAGCCUAAAAUGUAUAUCCACCCAGAAUAUAUAGGAAUUUUUUUCUUCUUUUAAAUGUCAUCAUUGACUAAUAGGUUGGCAAUGUCUUAUUUGGAAUCAUCAAAUCCAGGGAUACUUAUGAAAAGAUGUAAAGUAGAACCACUGAGAUUUUUUUUUGUUGUUGAUGAGCCCUUUCUGUUAAAAAUUUUAAUUAGUCAAACCUAUAACCUUUUCAGGGGAAGGAUUUGGUUUAGAUUAGUUUCUCACUAAAUUUUUCUUACUUUGUUUGCAAAUUGUUGAAUCCUUCUCGUUUUGAUAAUUAAAAAGUUACAAAAUUAUGAUUUGAAAUUUUUCUUUUAUAUUCAAAUUUAAGCUAUUUUAUACAAAACAAAGUAAUCAAAGUCAGCAGUAAUAAAAUAAUUUAACUGGCCUAAGAUUCUAUUUCUCAGGUUUUAUUUGUCAGUGUUUCUGGAAAUUAAUUUUAGAUGCUGAUUUAAGCUGCAGAGGUUCUUAUUGAAAGUCUUUUUAGUUUGAAGCUUUUUUCCAAUAACCUACCUAAGGAUGCUAGGAAAGCUAAGCUCUUCCAGCAGAACUUUUUCUUUCAGGACUGGAGCUGCACCUACAAGUAAGAAGUACCAGUCUUUUGGCUGUUCUAUCCUAAUCCCAGGUUAACAUCACAGUUAGAAAAAAAAAAGAUACUGAUAGGAAAGAUGAGGAAAAGAGUAUGGUAAGUCUCAAGAAUUAUAUCUGAGAGAGGCACCAGUGACAGAGAACAUGAAAGGAACUAGAUCUAUCUUACGUCUCUCUGCCUGAACAUGAUCCUAAGGUGAGGUUGUGUAUAUGAAUUUCUAUUCUGAAGGGUGAAGAAUGAGAUGCGUUUGGAAUUUGGCCCCAAUGGGAAAAUAUAAUUGAGGAAGUCACUAGACCAACAUCAGAAUAAGAAUAAAAUUUCUUGCCAAAAGUUUUGGAUUCAUUCACCAUGACAUGAAUGUAAUACUUCUUAAGGUAGAUAAGAAUCAAGUCUGUCAUGUUUCAGAUAUUGUACCAAACUUAACUGCAGGAUUAGAAGUCUCCCAUCUUUAAUAUUAAUGACCUACUGAAAAGGGGUCAAGUUGGAAUACUUCUUUACUGAUUAAACAGCACCUGACAUUGCUUUAAGCUAAAUUAAUAAAAAGAAUGUUCGUUUUUUCCUGUUGACUUAUUUCUACACUUCCUAUGGUAUUUCCUGCCAUAUGCUGUAGCUAUGUUCUAACAUAGUUUUUUUGAAAACUGUUGUAGUAUUCAUACAUUUGAGUAAUUUACUGGCAAAAUCAGCUGCUGAUUUACUGGUGGGCAAAACCAGAGCGCUAAGUGAGAUUUUGUUUCUCCCUAUUGCCCUGACUCAAUUAUAGCUUAACACUGUGAAAUAUUAUAACAUCUGCUUUGCAGCUGCACUGCACAUCUUUUCCAUUCAGUGAGGGUUGCAAUAAGCAGCAGUCAAGUAAGUGUUGUACCACCCCUUUGUCGGUAGGACAGUAAGGUAGUGAUUUAGUCUCGGUGUCUUCUACUGGGGUGCUCAAGUAACAGAACUUCAUGUUUGUCACUAAAAAUUUCUGUAUUUUAGACACAGGUCUGAUUCACAGCAUAUUGAAAGCAAUGUUGCUGUUUUGUCCUUAAGCAGACCCAAACUAAAACAGAACUAAAAAAAUUCUCUGCUAAAAGCAUUUCAGCGCCUGAACCAAGGAACCUUCAAGCCCACACACGAACCUCUGUUACUUAAGCUAAGCAAGCAUCUAUGCCAGAUGGUAGUUAGAAUAAGCUGCUCUUCUGUGCGUGGACUACCCAGAACACAGGAAUGAGAAAGAGGGUUAAAAUUCCCUAUCUUAUAAGCACAUUAUGAAGGCGGGAGAUUAACAUACAAAAUUUUCUAACGACUCGAUGAGUAUGCCUACACUGUUCUGAAAAAGUGGUCUCAAGAGAAAUGCUGAAGUGCCUGCAGACAGCUUACAAGGCUGCCUCACGCAUGCAACUGCCUGCUGGGGCACGUAACAUUGCCAGUGAGCCCACAGGCAGCCUCAGGCCAUAGCAGGGGCAGUGCUACCAUGGGUGCUAUUGCAUGGUUGAUCAACCUGUUCUUGAGUCACUGGAGGCAGACUAAAUUAGGUGAUAUUCCCUACUAAUUCCCUCAAAAAUGUUCAUUUACAGAAGCAGCUACAUAAAACAAAGUGAUGGCCCAGCAGUACUUUCAGUCCAUGAAAGUGCAACUAUUGUGAGAAGAGAAUAAUGCUUCAAAGACAUACGACAUCCAAGAAAAUGAUACUUGUUUUCUUUGGAUCAAUUUGGCCUUGAAAUGAAAUUGCUCCUUAUUCAACUGACAGGAUAACUCUAAGGAGAUCGAUGCAGAAUUUUCAGUGCUCCUGGUGUUGGCUGACGCCAUGUGAUUUUCAGAAAUACUGGCAGUUAUUUUAAUGGAAGAAGUGAAAAAGUGAACUGAAAUGACAAUCCUAUUAAAUAAAUCUGAGUGAAAGUAGUGCCAUUUUUUGCUAGCUCACAGACAUUUGGUUUCUGGAAUAAGAGGUAAUGUGCUUUUCUCUGUGUGUUGAAAAGUGUAUUCCUUGUAUUGAUUGAUAAAUUUGUACAGAAUGCCAUAGCUUUCUCAAGCUCAGCUGGAUGGUGUUUGGCCUCCUGAAUUUGUGUCUAGAAUGGUUCUUCUAAACUCUUUCAGAUUUCUAAAACAUGUUGGGGCUAGCAUGAAUAACUAAAAGAAUACAGUUUCAUGCAAAACAGAGUCCAUUAGAUAUUUUGUUUGUAUAUGUGCUUGUGUCAUCCAGAAAUUCAGGACCAUGUCCAUUUUAGAAGCUUUUGCAUUAUCUGUCUUGAUGUUAGUAGGAAGGAAUAUUUCUACAAAACCUCAUAUACCAUAUCACUGUUUACUGAAACUUAAGAUUCUGUCAAGUUAAUAUUUUGUUCUGUGUUGCUAUUUUUGUGCAGAUUAACUGUUAUCUGUGCUGUGUUUCUUUAUUACUUUCUGUGCUCUGUUAGUCUUUCUCAUUUCAGUUUAAUUGGUCUUUGAAAACUGUCAAACUGACUUGGAAAUAUAUGAAUGAAAUUAGGUGAUAAAUAUGUCAAAAAAUUUUUUAAGAAGGUGGGAGUUGACACCUAGAAUUUCACUCUCAGGUUUUCUUCUGGAUGUAGGGAAGUGACAAGCAAGGGAA
Molecule: non-coding RNA, 5890 nt
Organism: Phalacrocorax carbo (great cormorant)
Lineage: Eukaryota; Metazoa; Chordata; Aves; Suliformes; Phalacrocoracidae
Source: RefSeq, a predicted model, not a curated record